ACGGAGAAGGCUAGUUCAGCAGGGGUUGGUUCCCUGUUUAAGCAUGUAGGAGGAGUUGCCAGGCAAAUCCGGCAGCUCUUAACUCCGAGGUGUGAUGACGAGGCUCCACGCGAGCCGAAGUGAAUAACGCCCCGCUUCCAGGAAAAGCCUCUAGGCUUCAGAUCACAUUGGACCGUACCGUAAACCGACACUUGUGGGUGAGCAGAUAAUCUGCCAAGGCGCUUGAGAGAACUCGGGUUAAGGAACUCUGCAAAUUGAUACCGUAACUUCGGAAGAAGGUAUGCCUUCGACGGUGUAGGGAUUUACUCCCGAAGCUGUUGAAGGUCGCAGGUAAUCGGUGGCUGCGACUGUUUAUCAAAAACACAGGACUCUGCGAACACGCAAGUGGAAGUAUAGGGUCUGACGCCUGCCCGGUGCCGGAAGGUUAAUUGAUGGGGUUAGCCGCAAGGCGAAGCUCUUGAUCGAAGCCCCGGUAAACGGCGGCCGUAACUAUAACGGUCCUAAGGUAGCGAAAUUCCUUGUCGGGUAAGUUCCGACCUGCACGAAUGGCGUAACGCUGGCCACACUGUCUCGACCCGAGACUCAGUGAAGUUGAAAUCGCUGUGAAGAUGCGGCGUUCCCGCGGCAAGACGGAAAGACCCCGUGAACCUUCACUACAGCUUUACACUGAACUUUGAACCUUUCUGUGUAGGAUAGGUGGGAGGCUAUGAAACUUGGGCGCUAGCUCGAGUGGAGCCAACCUUGAAAUACCACCCUGGGAUGUUUGAAGUUCUAACCUUGGUCCGUAAUCCGGAUUGGGGACAGUGUAUGGUGGGUAGUUUGACUGGCGGUCUCCUCCCAAAGAGUAACGGAGGAGUGCAAUGGUACGCUCAGCGCGGUCGGUCAUCGCGCUCUAGAGUGCAAAGGCAUAAGCGUGCUUAACUGUGAGACAGACACGUCGAACAGGUACGAAAGUAGGUCUUAGUGAUCCGGUGGUUCUGUAUGGAAGGGCCAUCGCUCAACGGAUAAAAGGUACUCCGGGGAUAACAGGCUUAUUCCUCCCAAGAGUCCACAUCGACGGAGGAGUUUGGCACCUCGAUGUCGGCUCAUCACAUCCUGGGGCUGUAGCAGGUCCCAAGGGUAUGGCUGUUCGCCAUUUAAAGUGGUACGCGAGCUGGGUUCAGAACGUCGUGAGACAGUUCGGUCCCUAUCUGCCGUGGGCGUUGGAAACUUGAGGGUGAGCUGUCCUUAGUACGAGAGGACCGGGAUGGACGUAUCUCUGGUGUUCCGGUUGUCACGCCAGUGGCACUGCCGGGUAGCUAUAUACGGACGGGAUAAGCGCUAAAAGCAUCUAAGCGCGAAGCCCCCCCCAAGAUUAGGUUUCCCUGGGAACUCGAUUCCCCUAAAGGGCCGUCGGAGACUACGACGUUGAUAGGCUGGGUGUGUAAGUGCAGCAAUGCAUUGAGCUAACCAGUACUAAUUGCCCGUGAGGCUUGACCAU
Molecule: ribosomal RNA, 1480 nt
Filed under: metagenome
Description: bacterial LSU rRNA
Rfam family: Bacterial large subunit ribosomal RNA
Source: RNAcentral